UUCUUCCUACGGGGCGCAGCAGUGGGGGAUAUUGCACAAUGGGGGGAACCCUGAUGCAGCGACGCCGCGUGGGUGAAGAAGCGCCUCGGCGCGUAAAGCCCUGUCAGCAGGGAAGAAAAUGACGGUACCUGACUAAGAAGCCCCGGCUAACUACGUGCCAGCAGCCGCGGUAAUACGUAGGGGGCAAGCGUUAUCCGGAUUUACUGGGUGUAAAGGGAGCGUAGACGGCGGCGCAAGUCCGGAGUGAAAGCCCACGGCCCAACC
RNAcentral lists this ribosomal RNA (264 nucleotides) under uncultured bacterium. RNAcentral's name for it is "partial 16S ribosomal RNA". It matches the Rfam family "Bacterial small subunit ribosomal RNA", at positions 333 to 614 of the family's 1533-position model. The record is from RNAcentral.